GACGAACUGUCCUAACGUUGUUCGGAAUCACUGGGCUUAAAGGGCGCGUAGGCGGUCCGACAAGUCGGGGGUGAAAUCCUGCAGCUUAACUGCAGAAGUGCCUUCGAUACUGUCGGUCUUGAGGGAGAUAGGGGUGUGCGGAACUCACAGUGGAGCGGUGAAAUGCGUUGAUAUUGUGAGGAACGCCGGAGGCGAAAGCGGCGCACUGGAUCUCUUCUGACGCUGAGGCGCGAAAGCUAGGGGAGCAAACGGG
This 253-nucleotide ribosomal RNA is filed under the name uncultured bacterium. Its description in RNAcentral is "partial 16S ribosomal RNA". It matches the Rfam family "Bacterial small subunit ribosomal RNA", at positions 524 to 776 of the family's 1533-position model. The record is from RNAcentral. RNAcentral also lists the same sequence under 1 other name.